This 162-nucleotide long non-coding RNA is filed under the name Parus major (Great Tit). Its description in RNAcentral is "lncRNA (ENSPMJG00000014345.1)". The record is from RNAcentral. Lineage: Eukaryota; Metazoa; Chordata; Aves; Passeriformes; Paridae.
UGCAGAUCUUAAACUGACUAAUAUUCAGCUUUUCUUGCAGCCGAUGGAGCAGGAUUCGUUCUUCAAAAUAAUUCAUCUGGUUCCCUAGACCUAAUCAGGUUCUUGGGGUUGUAGUGCCCAAGAAAUUGCUGCCUGUAAUAGCUGAAACAUGGGAGAAAGCUG